AACGUACGCUGGCGGCACGCCUAACACAUGCAAGUCGAGCGAGGUAGCAAUACCUAGCGGCAGACGGGUGAGUAACAUGUGGGAAUCUGCCUUUUGGUUCGGAACAACACGGGGAAACCUGUGCUAAUACCGGAUAAGUCCUAACGGAGAAAGUUUUAAUGCCAAAAGAUGAGCCCGCAUUUGAUUAGCUAGUUGGUAAGGUAAAGCUUACCAAGGCGACAAUCAAUAGCUGAUUUGAGAGGGCGACCGGCCACACUGGGACUGAGACACGGCCCAGACUCCUACGGGAGGCAGCAGUAGGGAAUAUUGGGCAAUGGGCGAAAGCCUGACCCAGCGACGCCGCGUGAGGGAUGAAGGUCUUCGGAUUGUAAACCUCUUUCAGUAGGGAAGAAGCGAAAGUGACGGUACCUAAAGAAGAAGCACCGGCUAACUAUGUGCCAGCAGCCGCGGUAAUACAUAGGGUGCAAGCGUUGUCCGGAAUUAUUGGGCGUAAAGAGCUCGUAGGUCGUUUGUCGCGUCGAUUGUGAAAAUCUGAGGCUCAACCUCAGACCUGCAGUCGAUACGGGCAAACUAGAGUGUGGUAGGGGAGACUGGAAUUCCUGGUGUAGCGGUGGAAUGCGCAGAUAUCAGGAGGAACACCAAUGGCGAAGGCAGGUCUCUGGGCCAUAACUGACACUGAGGAGCGAAAGUGCGGGGAGCGAACAGGAUUAGAUACCCUGGUAGUCCGCACCGUAAACGGUGGGCACUAGUUGUGGGAACCUUCCACGGUUUCCGCGACGCAGCAAACGCAUUAAGUGCCCCGCCUGGGGAGUACGAUCGCAAGAUUAAAACUCAAAGGAAUUGACGGGGCCCCGCACAAGCAGCGGAGCAUGCGGCUUAAUUCGACGCAACGCGAAGAACCUUACCAAGGCUUGACAUAUAGUGAAAAGUGGCAGAGAUGUCA
Molecule: ribosomal RNA, 943 nt
Filed under: uncultured bacterium
Lineage: Bacteria
Description: bacterial SSU rRNA
Rfam family: Bacterial small subunit ribosomal RNA
Source: RNAcentral